CGGAGUGCCUAGCCGAGCGCCGAGUGAUCGAUGCCGUGGCCCCGCCCCGUCGUGUUUACAAGGCCGUAGGGUAGAAGCGACCCGCAAGUGAGGGGUCUUUUCCUGGUUUUCGAUUCCCACGUGGGUGACGCCUGCGACUUCCUCAGCAAGGAUAACUUAGUGUGCUAAUCAGCUUCGCAUCCACCAUUUCAUCGAAACCGUACAACUAAGAGGAUUCGUUUUCCUAGUUUACAGGGAGGAUUCUUGCUAAAACUGGACUCAGCAAGCCAAGGACAGCGCCCAAGGUCAAGGCUUAGUUAGAAAGAGGACUGAGAAGAGCCUUGUCACUGGUCACCAGGGAUGUGUCAGAAAACAGCUUGCUGCAAGGAACCCCUUUUCCAUGUGACUUCCAGAAGGCUCGUGGAUGCUGCCCGUGUUUACCUCCAACAAGGCUGGGCACAGACCCUCCAAAUUCCCACUCUUUGCCUCGUAAGUGAUUAGCUGAACUGCUUGUCCCCAGUAAUCAAUCAGAGCAAAAUGCUUGUCAGCCAAAUUUCGUUAAAUUCUCUCCUUCCUCCAGCCCCUGAACUUUGGUCCACGCCCAGCCUAAGCCAGCAGACGGUCCUUCUUGCGAAGAGGACAGAAUGUUCUCUGAUCCCCUGUCCCGUUAUGCUACUCUUUGAUCCCACUUUCUAGUUCUUUUCUGCAGCCUAUAAAAGAAAAAUCUUUUUGCCCAACCCUGACGAUGCUCGCAAACCUUAUUGAUGAGGGAGCGUGGGCCAAGCCAGGGGCAAAGUACAGGCUAACAGCACCCCCCUCCACCAGGUGGGAUAUGUGUGAUAUUCCUCCAACACUCCUGCCUGCCCAAGAAUAGGGGAAAGGAAAGAAAGCAAAUAGUUAACUGAUAGAGAUCACAGUCCUGCAGGGACAGGAGUCUCCUUUAGUUUACGGAUAACUUAGUAAAUUGCAAGAAAAAGGCAAUCUUUUCCAUAGCCUAAUCUCCAGAAACCUAUAGAUUCUAUUUCCUGGAGCCCGAAUAUCACCCUCAUCAAGAUGUAAGGGGGUUUAAGUGCUUGCCAUGGUGAUAUGGGAAACAAGGCAAAUGAAAAAUUAAAUUCCCUUACUGCCUACAGCCAUUAACAAGUCCUUGAAACAGAGUGACCUUCCUCUAGGAGCUCAGCUGCCUUGACGAUGAUGACAUUUUGGUAGGGGCAAAAGAGAAUCUUGUCUUAAUAUUAUCCUGACCACCCUCCCUCCCAGGAUCCUGUGAGUCUCCUUAAACACAUAAAAAUUUCGGGGUGCCUGGGUGGCUCAGUCAAUUAAGUGUCCGACUUUGGUUCAGGUCAUGAUCUCACAGCUCAUGAAUUUGAACCCCACGUCGGGCUCUGUGCUGACAGCUCAGCGCCUGGAGCCUGCUUCGGAUUCUGUGUCUCCCUCGCUCUCUGCCCCUCCCCCGCUCAUGCUCUGUCUUUCUCUCUCUCAAAAGUAAAUAAAACAUUAAAAAAAAUUUUUUUUUAAUUCCUUUGCAAACCUCCUUUAUCUGUACCACCGCCCCCUCCCCGCAAAGAUAUAUGUUAACAGUCAUAUUCCAGACUUAACGGCCCCUGAUACACAUCUGAAGGGCCUCAUGACUGAGGUUUCACUAAGCAGUAAUAAAAGAUGUUUUCCUAGGGGCGCCUGGGUGGCGCAGUCGGUUAAGUGUCCGACUUCAGCCAGGUCACGAUCUCGCGGUCCGUGAGUUCGAGCCCCGCGUCAGGCUCUGGGCUGAUGGCUUGGAGCCUGUUUCCGAUUCUGUGUCUCCCUCUCUCUCUGCCCCUCCCCCGUUCAUGCUCUGUCUCUCUCUGUCCCAAAAAUAAAAAAUAAAAGCGUUGGGAAAAAAAAAAAAAAAAGAUGUUUUCCUAGCUAGCCCCUCAAGGUCCUGGAAACCUUGCUUCCAAAAUUCCUUAGAGACUUACACUGUCCCUAACCCCCUGCCAACCAGAAGGUAUAUAUAUAAUCAGUCACUUUUCACAACCCCAGUGCAGCUCUUUCUGCCCACGGGUCCUGUCCCCGUGCUCUAAUAAAAUCACCUUUUUGCACCAAA
Molecule: long non-coding RNA, 2062 nt
Organism: Neofelis nebulosa (Clouded leopard)
Lineage: Eukaryota; Metazoa; Chordata; Mammalia; Carnivora; Felidae
Exons: 3
Source: RefSeq, a predicted model, not a curated record